Molecule: ribosomal RNA, 253 nt
Filed under: uncultured bacterium
Lineage: Bacteria
Description: partial 16S ribosomal RNA
Rfam family: Bacterial small subunit ribosomal RNA
Source: RNAcentral
UACGGGGGGGGCAAGCGUUGUUCGGAAUUACUGGGCGUAAAGGGCUCGUAGGCGGCCAACUAAGUCAUACGUGAAAUCCCUCAGCUUAACUGGGGAACUGCGUGUGAUACUGGAUGGCUUGGAUGUGGGAGAGGGAUGCGGAAUUCCAGGUGUAGCGGUGAAAUGCGUAGAUAUCAGGAGGAACACCGGUGGCGAAGGCGGGUCUCUGGGCCGAUACUGACGCUGAGGAGCGAAAGCGUGGGGAGCGAACAGG